RNAcentral lists this transfer RNA (78 nucleotides) under Megalops atlanticus (tarpon). Its description in RNAcentral is "tRNA-OTHER". Lineage: Eukaryota; Metazoa; Chordata; Actinopteri; Elopiformes; Megalopidae. The record is from RNAcentral.
GGCAGUGUAGCAUAGUGGUAAUGAGCAGGGCUUGUAACUGAAAGGUUGCUGGUUCGAUUCCCUGCUGGGACACUGCCG